AUGUUUUCAAAAUUUCAUUCAUUUCCUCUCUCGGUUCUCUUUGUCCUCACCCUCCCCAUUCUCCCUCCUCCCGUUCCUCACUUUCUCCGGCGAUUUUCUUCCCCUUUUUCCGGCCAUACUCUCCGGGAAACUUUUCCAUCAGAGCCUAAAUACAAAUCCAUUUCCGGCAUCGUUGUUUUCAGGUUUUCGUCGUCGUUUCGGAGAGCGAAACUCUAG
This is a non-coding RNA of Vicia faba (fava bean), 216 nucleotides long. The record is from the annotation of a GenBank genome assembly. NCBI's taxonomy places the organism in Eukaryota, Viridiplantae, Streptophyta, Magnoliopsida, Fabales, Fabaceae.